RNAcentral lists this ribosomal RNA (75 nucleotides) under Metabacillus rhizolycopersici. RNAcentral describes it as "partial 16S ribosomal RNA". It matches the Rfam family "Bacterial small subunit ribosomal RNA", at positions 1 to 75 of the family's 1533-position model. Lineage: Bacteria; Bacillati; Bacillota; Bacilli; Caryophanales; Bacillaceae. The record is from RNAcentral.
UUAUUGGAGAGUUUGAUCCUGGCUCAGGACGAACGCUGGCGGCGUGCCUAAUACAUGCAAGUCGAGCGAAUUGAU